Molecule: non-coding RNA, 79 nt
Organism: Pelobates cultripes (western spadefoot toad)
Lineage: Eukaryota; Metazoa; Chordata; Amphibia; Anura; Pelobatidae
Source: the annotation of a GenBank genome assembly
UGCUCCCUCACGGUUCCCACAAUCCCCAUGCUGUAUCAGUAUAAUGCUGUGCUGGGGAUUGUGGGAACUGCGAGGGAGC